GGCCAGUUAGUUCAGUCAGUUGAGCAUAGCGCUAACAACGCUAAGGUCACAGGUUCGAUUCCUGUUCGGUCUC
Molecule: transfer RNA, 73 nt
Filed under: Apaloderma vittatum (bar-tailed trogon)
Lineage: Eukaryota; Metazoa; Chordata; Aves; Trogoniformes; Trogonidae
Rfam family: tRNA
About the family: Transfer RNA (tRNA) molecules are approximately 80 nucleotides in length. Their secondary structure includes four short double-helical elements and three loops (D, anti-codon, and T loops).
Source: Rfam by way of RNAcentral